GUAAAUAUAGUUUAAAAAAACAUUAGAUUGUGAUUCUAAAGACAGAAGCCAAUAACUUCUUAUUUACC
This 68-nucleotide transfer RNA is filed under the name Ichthyophis glutinosus (Ceylon caecilian). RNAcentral describes it as "tRNA-His". It matches the Rfam family "tRNA". Rfam says of the family: Transfer RNA (tRNA) molecules are approximately 80 nucleotides in length. Their secondary structure includes four short double-helical elements and three loops (D, anti-codon, and T loops). Lineage: Eukaryota; Metazoa; Chordata; Amphibia; Gymnophiona; Ichthyophiidae. The record is from RNAcentral.